AGUCGUAACAAGGUAUCCGUAGGUGAACCUGCGGAUGGAUCAUUACCAAAGAUCCCAUCCACGUACUGUGAACUGUUUUGACUGACGGUCAGCGGGAGCUCUAGCUGGGUGUGCCUAGGCGCACUCCGGCUAAUGUAACCGCUGCCCGUAUCAACCAACGUAUAAUACCCAAACUGACGUCUCUUUAGUACAUACUAACUAAAGACAACUUUUAGCAACGGAUCUCUAGGCUCUU
This 235-nucleotide unclassified non-coding RNA is filed under the name fungal sp. RNAcentral describes it as "partial internal transcribed spacer region". The stretch from base 1 to 45 matches the Rfam family "Eukaryotic small subunit ribosomal RNA", at positions 1787 to 1831 of the family's 1831-position model. The record is from RNAcentral. Lineage: Eukaryota; Fungi.